AGUUCCCGAUUAUACUUGCUGUGUCAUCUGAAAUGUAUGGACGUAUAAAACAUGGAUUACACAACAUGUUGCCCGAGCGCAUAACCAGUCCAUUUAAUACGAAUGAGCGGCAAGAAGUGAACGACUAGCUUCGUUGCAUCAGCUUGCUCACAACCCAAACGACAAUAUGGAUCCGCAAAAGGCAA
Molecule: long non-coding RNA, 185 nt
Organism: Dreissena polymorpha
Lineage: Eukaryota; Metazoa; Mollusca; Bivalvia; Myida; Dreissenidae
Exons: 3
Source: RefSeq, a predicted model, not a curated record